CUACGGGCUGCUGCAGUGGGGAAUAUUGGACAAUGGGCGCAAGCCUGAUCCAGCAAUGCCGCGUGAGUGAAGACGGCCUUAGGGUUGUAAAACUCUUUCGCUAGGGAAGAUAAUGACUGUACCUAGUAAAGAAGUCCCGGCUAACUCCGUGCCAGCAGCCGCGGUAAUACGGAGGGGACUAGCGUUGUUCGGAAUUACUGGGCGUAAAGAGUUCGUAGGCGGACUGACAAGUUAGAGGUGAAAUCCCAGGGCUCAACCCUGGAACUGCCUUUAAAACUGUCAGGCUAGAGACCGGAAGAGGCUAGGGGAAUACCUAGUGUAGAGGUGAGAUUCGUAGAUAUUAGGUGGAACACCAGUGGCGAAGGCGCCUAACUGGUCCGGUACUGACGCUGAGGAACGAAAGCGUGGGGAGCAAACAGGAUUAGAUACCCCAGUAGUC
This 439-nucleotide ribosomal RNA is filed under the name uncultured bacterium. RNAcentral's name for it is "partial 16S ribosomal RNA". It matches the Rfam family "Bacterial small subunit ribosomal RNA", at positions 339 to 795 of the family's 1533-position model. The record is from RNAcentral.